RNAcentral lists this transfer RNA (74 nucleotides) under Candidatus Omnitrophota bacterium. RNAcentral's name for it is "tRNA-Trp". It matches the Rfam family "tRNA". From Rfam's summary of the family: Transfer RNA (tRNA) molecules are approximately 80 nucleotides in length. Lineage: Bacteria; Pseudomonadati; Candidatus Omnitrophota. The record is from RNAcentral. RNAcentral also lists the same sequence under 1 other name.
AGGCGAGUAGCUCAAUUGGCUAGAGCAUCGGUCUCCAAAACCGGAGGUUGCAGGUUCAACUCCUGCCUCGCCUG